GUCUACAGCCGUACCACCCUGAAUGUGCCCGAUCUCAUCUGAUCUCGGAAGCUAAGCAGGGUUGGGCCUGGUUAGUACUUGGAUAGGAGACAAAUGUAGUCCUUGUUUACC
Molecule: ribosomal RNA, 111 nt
Filed under: Saimiri boliviensis boliviensis (Bolivian squirrel monkey)
Lineage: Eukaryota; Metazoa; Chordata; Mammalia; Primates; Cebidae
Source: RNAcentral